RNAcentral lists this non-coding RNA (36 nucleotides) under Geotalea daltonii FRC-32. The record is from RNAcentral. Lineage: Bacteria; Pseudomonadati; Thermodesulfobacteriota; Desulfuromonadia; Geobacterales; Geobacteraceae.
UGGUGUGCUGGGAGUUCGGAUCAUCGGCUGCCUUGU